GUAAGGAAUUACAGUAAAAUAUAGUUACUAUAAUUCUAAUUAUUAAGUAACAUACAGGCACGCUAAGAAGAAGGCACAAUACAAAGAUAUAACUCUACUCCCAAGUCUACUGAUAAAAAGGGCUAAAGAAGUGAAGAAUGCAGAUAUCAUAGAUGCUUCGUUUGAUGAUAAGGAGGUCAAAUAUUGUAGAUUUAAUGCAAUAAUCAAAGAUAUAUUAAAUAUAGAUGACCCAUGGUAUUCUUCUUGCAAGAGAUGCUACAAGAAAGUGGACUUUAUAAAUAAUAUUGCAAAAUGUCCUCGUUGUCGCACAGAAAAAGUUGAUUAUGAGGAAAGAUAUCUUCUAAAGCUUGAGGUGUUUGAUAAGAAAGAACACUGUUAUGUUACAUUGUUUGAAGCUACAAGAUAGUUGCUUGGUUGCGAUGCUAAAACGUAUACAGAAUCAGUAUCUCCCAAGAAAGAAGAAUCCACAUUUUACCAUAAGCUGGUGUUGAGUAAGGAAAAAGAAUACACAUUUCUUCUCAAAAUUGAUGCAAGAAAUGGAGGAGAUUGGGCUAGACGACGCGUCAUUGCAGAGGAAAUACAGGAAGUUGAAGAAGCUAUUGCAAUUGACAUAGAAGAUGAAGAUAUAGAAUCAGAACCACUAAUCAGGAAAACCAAACAUACUGAGGAUGACACUGAUGAAAAGAUAACUUAUAAAAGAGUCAAAAUUGAAAAUAAUUAGUGGUGUUUUGUUCUCUAAUAAGUAUAAGCUCGAAUAUUUUUAUAGUCUAGAUAGUUAUUGAUUGUUUAGGUUUUCAUUC
Long non-coding RNA from Lycium ferocissimum, 800 nucleotides. RefSeq lists it as uncharacterized. Lineage: Eukaryota; Viridiplantae; Streptophyta; Magnoliopsida; Solanales; Solanaceae. The transcript is spliced from 4 exons. The record is from RefSeq and is a predicted model, not a curated record.